CCUGUUGGUAGCUCAAUGGGAAGAACCUUGCUAAACACUUUCACUGUGCUGCAAGAGACGUGGGUUCGAUCCCCACCCGGAGGG
Molecule: non-coding RNA, 84 nt
Organism: Coniochaeta ligniaria NRRL 30616
Lineage: Eukaryota; Fungi; Ascomycota; Sordariomycetes; Coniochaetales; Coniochaetaceae
Source: the annotation of a GenBank genome assembly